UGCAAGUCGAGGGGCAGCGGGGAAAAGCUUGCUUUUCCGCCGGCGACCGGCGCACGGGUGCGCACCGCGUAUGGAACCUGCCUUGUACAGGGGAAUAGCCCAGGGAAACUUGGAUUAAUGCCCCGUGGUACCGUAUUUCGGCAUCGUUAUACGGUUAAAGCCUUCGGGCGGUACAAGAUGGCCAUGCGUCCCAUUAGCUGGAUGGUAAGGUAACGGCUUACCAUGGCUACGAUGGGUAGGGGCCCUGAGAGGGGGAUCCCCCACACUGGUACUGAGACACGGACCAGACUCCUACGGGAGGCAGCAGUGAGGAAUAUUGGACAAUGGAGGGGACUCUGAUCCAGCCAUGCCGCGUGCAGGAAGAAUGCCCUAUGGGUAGUAAACUGCUUUUAUACGGGAAGAAAAAGAGCUACGUGUAGCUUACUGACGGUACCGUAAGAAUAAGGACCGGCUAACUCCGUGCCAGCAGCCGCGGUAAUACGGAGGGUCCGAGCGUUAUCCGGAAUUAUUGGGUUUAAAGGGUCCGUAGGCGGGCCGAUAAGUCAGGGGUGAAA
RNAcentral lists this ribosomal RNA (554 nucleotides) under bacterium. RNAcentral's name for it is "bacterial SSU rRNA". It matches the Rfam family "Bacterial small subunit ribosomal RNA", at positions 56 to 599 of the family's 1533-position model. The record is from RNAcentral.